Scylla paramamosain (green mud crab) is the source of this 3759-nucleotide long non-coding RNA. RefSeq lists it as uncharacterized. The transcript has 2 exons. The record is from RefSeq and is a predicted model, not a curated record. Lineage: Eukaryota; Metazoa; Arthropoda; Malacostraca; Decapoda; Portunidae.
AUUUAGGUGUUUACAGAAAAAAAAAAAAAAAAAAAAAUUUCAUUAGAAAAAAAAACUACACUAACUUGCCUUUUUUUUUUUUAGAGCAUCACAGCGUAUAUAUACACACAAUUUAAUUUUGAGGUAGGAAGUACCUGACAUGAGGUGCGUCUUGGUAUAAGUGUGGCAGCUCUGCAGGCCAGGGAAUCCCCGGAAAGGACAACGCCUACACGCCCAGUUCAAAAUGGUCAGACCAUAGGUGUCUUGUUGGAAGGUAACUUACCAAAGGAGCUAAGGACGUACGCAAUGAAAGCAGCCGCUAGAAUCAGAAACCGGUGCUACAACUAUAGAAUUGGCAAAAACCUAUUAAAGUUGUGAUGGGACACAAACCUAACCUUAGUGGUAUGCAGAUAUUCGGAACUGUUUGUUUCGCAUAUCUACAGAAGAAACAGAAGUUUGAUACACGUUGUGUAAGAGGAACAUUUGUAGGAUAUGUUGAUGAGAGUCCAACAUAUCUUGUAUAUUUUCCUUUGAAAAAAAAAAAAAAAAUUAAGUAAUGAGAGUAAGAUGUGUAAGGUUCAUAAAGAAGUUUUGGCAAGGAAAUGAAAAGAAUGAUAAGCAUGUGUAUUCUGAAUCAAAACCGCAGGAAACAGAAGAGGUAGAAAUAGAGAAAAACUGCAAACGGGGAGAAUGCUCAGAAAAAAAGCAAAGAAGAUAUUCCCAGAGGCAGAAAAAUAAACUUAUUAUUUGAAAGACUAUGUUUUUGAAGAUUAUGUUGAAAAUGGUGCAUAUUGUUUGGUUGAUUAUUGAUGCAAAGUUCCUGAUAUUCCACAAACUCAUGAAGAAGCUAUCCUGUCCAAAGAAUCUGACCAGUGGAAGAGAGCUAUGGAAGAAGAAAUUCAGUCUUUGGAGGACAAUUAUACAUAUGAGUUGACAUCUUUGCCUGAAAGAAGAUCAGUAGUAGGUGGAAAGUGGGUUUACACAGUGAAGAGUAAUCCUGAAAGUGGAGAAAAGUUUAAAGCACGAUAUGUGGCAAAAGGGUAUUCUAAAGCACAGGGUGUUGAUUUCCAAGAAACAUUUUCACCAACAGCUCAGCUUACAUCUAUUAGAAUAUUAAUGCAGUUAGCAGCAUAGAAUCAUAUGAUUAUCAAUUAGAUGAAUGUAAAGCCCGCAUAUUUAAAUGCUGACGUAGAUUGUGAGAUAUAUCUUGAGUAACCAAAAGGCUUUGUUAAAACUAAUGAAGGGGGAGAUAAACUAGUGUGCAGGCUCAAAAGUCACUGUAUGAUCUAAAACAUAGUGGGAGGAAUUGCAAUAAUUUACUGCAUGGGUGUUUAAUUAAAGGUUUUGCUCAGCCAUAUGCUGAUUAUUGUUUGCAUACUAAACAAGGAAUAAGACAGAUUUUGUUUUGGGUAUAUAUUAUUGCAGCCAGUAACAAUAUAGCUCUAAACAGUAUCAAGGAAUUUCUUAAAGAUAGAUUUCUUAAAGAUAGAUUUCUUGAGGAUAGUGUGCGUGAGUGUGUAUGUGCGUGUCUGAAUGCGUGGGCGCCGUGUGGGCGGUUGUGAGGCCCCCGUUAGCGAAAUUUGGCGGGAGAGUUGGUGUGGGUCGCGGUGCUGGGCGUGGGGACGCCAGCCCGCUGGCAGUUCUCGCUAGGAUUCAGUCCCAGGAAGGUGUGUGCAGCCCUCGCUCAUGUGGAGGGCAGCGUAGCGUCCUGCACCCGACUAAGGACGUUGAGCCAGUCUGCAAGUGUGCCGUGCGUGUGACUGUGACAUUAGGGAACUAGAAAUUGUGCCAUGACUAUGUAAUGUGCCUGCCACGUGACUGCAUGUUUCUCUUUCCAAGGUACCUUGAGGAAGUGUUCCGUCUACAGAUUACAAGGAUUCAGUAAAGUCCUGCGUCAGGCUUCCGUGUAGCCAGCGCAGGUGUAAGUGUUACGUGUGGCCACUUCUGUUUCCUGUCUACCCCCUGGAUUGCUGGGAAACGCGGCUGGUGAGUAUGUGUGCGGUGAGUAUAGCCCGACCUGCGAGUGCCGUGUAGCAGUGGAAGCAGAUGGUGACAGUGGGGUUCGUAACAAUAAGUUCUGGAUGAAAGACACGGGGAGGUUAGCAUAGUUUUUGGGAAUUGAAUUACAGAUACGAUACAGAUCGCUGUAUCAUAAUGAGAGAGGAUGCUAGAGAAAUUUAACGUGACUUAUUGUAAAACUUAAUCAAUCCCAUUUGACCAAGGUGUCCAUGUGUCAAGAUGACAAGUGAGGAUUCCAGAGAACUAGAUAACCAUAAUGUAUCAUGAAUAUGAUAUUUAUGAAAUUAUGCUUCUUGUAAGGGUUGAUCCCACGCAUAAAGUCAUUUGCUCGUUCGCUGACGUGGCAGCGUCUUGGUGAGGGCUGUGGGGCAGACUUGAGCCAGUCCUGCCGCUCUACACCCCGUGGAUGGUUCAUCUUGCUACUGUGUUAUGUCAUGUGACUACGUCUCUUGAACGCUUGGAUUUGGUGGAGCAAGGUGGCCAGGGUUUGGGACCAGUGCAAGUGAUCUCAGGACUGCUUCGGGCUCCUUAGGACCAGUGAUGUUACGCUGCAUGGUAACGGUCCGAGUGGUGACACGUGUGCAGAUUUGAAGCGGCUGUCCAGCAUUGCUUAGGACGAAACUGCUAUAGGGCCACUGAAGUAUGUAUACCUUUCAGCAUUUCCUUCCGUAUAGUGAUUAUUAUUUACAUACAUGUGCAUGGUGAAAUUAGUUCAGGGAUUUGGUACAAUAUUUUCGCUUUUUCUCGGGGAUAUUUUACCACAAUCAGCAUUGGAUCCAUGUUUUGAGGUGUAUUUGUAUCAUUAUCAUUGUGAGUUUAUUGAUUAUUGUACUGGCCAGGAUUAUAUUGUCAGUAUCAUUCUCUUAUUGUGAUGUAUUUAACAGGUUAAAAUUUAACAUUUGACAACGCUCAGCCCGGAUACUUUCGUCCAACACUUACGCUGUACAAGGAAAUUGUUGGUAAUUUGAGCUAUGUAAUGGCUGGUACAAGACCUGACCUAUGCUCUGUUGUCACUAAAUUAUCUGAACAUAUGUCAAAACCAACACAGGUACACCUUGGUUUGGCUAAGCAUGGGCACUCUUUAUUACUGUAUUAAAUUUUCUAGAUCGAUGAUCCACUGAAAUUAGUAGGGUACAGUGAUGCUGAUUGGGGUAGUAUUUCUGAGUAUACCUUCUACUUGAAUAAUUAUGGUCCAUUGAUCUCGUGGAAAAGUAAGAAAAAAUGUUGUAGCUUUGUCCACUUGUGAAGCAGAGUACAUGAUCAUAACUAAUGCAAUGCAAGAAGGGAACUUUUUUAAGACAGUUGUAGUAUGACAUGAAUGACCGUGACAAGCAGGUAUGUGGAUAAUCAAGGAGCAGUGGCAUUCGCUAAAAACCCUGUGCAGCAUCAGAGAUCAAAACAUAUAGACAUUAAGUAUCAUUACAUUAGAUCUGAGGUGGAACAGGGUAUUAGUGAUUUGAGAUAUGUUCCCACUGAAGAUAAUAUUUCUGACAUUUUCACAAAGCCAAUGUCAAAAAAUAAAUUGAUGAAAUCCAGUGUUAUUAACGGAGCAACUUAAGAUUGAGAGAAAGUUAAGAUAUAAGUACAGUAAACUUCUUGGGAAUAGAAAUUAUAUAGUAUUAUUAUCAUUGCUGUUAUUUUUAUUAUCAUUUAUUGGAAAAAUGUUUUGGCCCUUUUGUUAACUGUAUGUAACUUGGCACCUUCUUUACACUAUAGCAGUGAGACGCUCCAGCUGUGAAAGUAAACAUCGUCACUACUGGC